AACCGACACAGGUGGUCAGGUAGAGAAUACCAAGGCGCUUGAGAGAACUCGGGUGAAGGAACUAGGCAAAAUGGUGCCGUAACUUCGGUAGAAGGCACGCUGACACGUAGGUGAAGUGAUUUACUCACGGAGCUGAAGUCAGUCGAAGAUACCAGCUGGCUGCAACUGUUUAUUAAAAACACAGCACUGUGCAAACACGAAAGUGGACGUAUACGGUGUGACGCCUGCCCGGU
This 233-nucleotide ribosomal RNA is filed under the name Salmonella enterica subsp. enterica serovar Cerro. Its description in RNAcentral is "partial 23S ribosomal RNA". It matches the Rfam family "Bacterial large subunit ribosomal RNA", at positions 1652 to 1867 of the family's 2925-position model. The record is from RNAcentral. Lineage: Bacteria; Pseudomonadati; Pseudomonadota; Gammaproteobacteria; Enterobacterales; Enterobacteriaceae.